This is a non-coding RNA of Ixodes scapularis (black-legged tick), 82 nucleotides long. Lineage: Eukaryota; Metazoa; Arthropoda; Arachnida; Ixodida; Ixodidae. The record is from Rfam.
GCAGUCGUGGCCGAGAGGUUAAAGCGAUCGACUAGAAAUCCAUUGGGGUCUCCCCGGACAGGUUCGAAUCCUGUCGACUGCG